Molecule: long non-coding RNA, 563 nt
Filed under: Phoenix dactylifera (date palm)
Lineage: Eukaryota; Viridiplantae; Streptophyta; Magnoliopsida; Arecales; Arecaceae
Description: long non-coding RNA (PDAC_LNC020156)
Source: RNAcentral
AGCUUAUACCAAGGAUUCGGGCUCGGAGAGUUUUCCGGUGCCUAGUCCAGGACUUGACCGAGCCCUAAGGCGGUCACCAGGACUCAAAUUUCAGCGAGGUUACCUAUUAUCAAUCCUCGCGUUGCCGGGGCGGACCACGUUCGUUUCUAACGAACAAGUCGAAUGCCCGUCAGCUUGUGACGGGGAUUCGCCGGACUUUGUAUGAUGAUGUGCUGGUGUCACGAGCACUCCUUCGCCGAGGCGAUCGAAGACGCUCCUCUGCUCGGUGUCCGUUCCUUGAGGACAUCGGCAGAGAAAAUCCGAGAACAGAAUAGGUAAUGUAAACAUUAAUGUAGAAACAUAAAUGGGUACCUUUAACAUGUGUCCUCGCGCCGAGGCGACUGAAGACACUUCUCUGCUCGGACUCCGUUCUUUGGGCACGUCGACAGAGAAAAAUCCGAAAAUAGAUGAAAUAAUGUAAAAGCAUUACAUAAAUGGGUACCUUGUACCGUGUGCGUCCUUGCGCCGAGGCGACUGAAGACGCUUCUCUUGUACCAUGUGUCCUUGCGCCGAGGCGACUGAAG